GAUGAACGCUAGCGGCAGGCUUAAUACAUGCAAGUCAAGGGGUCAGCAAUGGCACCGGCGGACGGGUGAGUAACGCGUACACAACGUACCUUUAACUGGGGGAUAGCAUUUGGAAACGAGUGGUAAUACCGCAUGUGGUUGUAGGGAGGCAUCUUUUUGCAACUAAAACUCAGGUGGUUAAAGAUCGGUGUGCGUCCGAUUAGCUAGUUGGUGAGGUAAUGGCUCACCAAGGCGACGAUCGGUAGGGGCGUGAGAGCGUGAACCCCCACACGGGUACUGAGACACGGACCCGACUCCUACGGGAGGCAGCAGUAAGGAAUAUUGGUCAAUGGAGGCAACUCUGAACCAGCCAUGCCGCGUGAAGGAAGAAGGCGCUAUGCGUUGUAAACUUCUUUUGGGUGGGAAGAAAAUGGUCAAUUUAUUGACAACUGACGGUACCAUCAGAAUAAGCACCGGCUAACUCCGUGCCAGCAGCCGCGGUAAGGCUACGUAGA
Molecule: ribosomal RNA, 494 nt
Filed under: uncultured bacterium
Lineage: Bacteria
Description: bacterial SSU rRNA
Rfam family: Bacterial small subunit ribosomal RNA
Source: RNAcentral